CUACGGGAGGCAGCAGUAGGGAAUCUUCCACAAUGGGCGAAAGCCUGAUGGAGCAACGCCGCGUGGGUGAAGAAGGUCUUCGGAUCGUAAAACCCUGUUGUUAGAGAAGAAAGUGCGUGAGAGUAACUGUUCACGUUUCGACGGUAUCUAACCAGAAAGCCACGGCUAACUACGUGCCAGCAGCCGCGGUAAUACGUAGGUGGCAAGCGUUAUCCGGAUUUAUUGGGCGUAAAGGGAACGCAGGCGGUCUUUUAAGUCUGAUGUGAAAGCCUUCGGCUUAACCGGCGUAGUGCAUUGGAAACUGG
This 305-nucleotide ribosomal RNA is filed under the name uncultured bacterium. Its description in RNAcentral is "bacterial SSU rRNA". It matches the Rfam family "Bacterial small subunit ribosomal RNA", at positions 339 to 636 of the family's 1533-position model. The record is from RNAcentral.